GUAUUUUGUAGUGUUCGUUUCUCCUUGAUUAUUUUCCAUAAAUUUUGUUGUUGCAAAUGUGACAGUGGCUGGCCGUUCUCAUCACGAGCAGUAGAUUGUGUGAAGCACGACUGGCAAGCUAUUGCCUCUGCAGGCACUUCCUCGCCUAGAGACUUCGAGUACCAGGUAUACAAAUAGUCAAAGUUGAAGCAACAAGAAAAUUUACAGACAAUUUUAAUAAACAUUCCUUUAAUCAGCUCAAAUGUACAAUUCGGCGAAAGAUGGCAACAUUUUCGUGCAAGAAUUUUCUUGUGGGAAUUCCAAAAGCGCAACUGCGGUCAAAAUUCCAAUCCAAGUAAACUACAGCCUAAUUUUCGCCUCGAGAAAAGAACACUCAAAAAUUUUCCAAUUUGCAGCACAGCAUAAUUAAACUCAUUCACGAAACAGCAGAAAAAAUAGUCUUAGAAUUGGAGAGAUUAUCGAAAAGCAAAGAAAGACGAGGAAAAAACGCAAUGGCUGGAAGGCGAUUUAUUAGAAAUAACAUAUACUCGGGCAACAAAGCUAUCAAAAUGCACAUCCCACCGGUAAGUCUCCAAAUAAAAUAUGAGGCAGAUUGCUAAUAACACCGAUUGAAAUUCAGACAACGGCAGCCUAGACCAUCUUGAGCCAAUCGAUGGAAGCUCCAUGCGGAUCGGGACAGCCUAGUGCGCCAGGAGGAGAGCAACACUGGCACGUUGGAUCGGCUUGCAUCACAAUGACUCGAUCGAGUGGUCAAAGGGUUGCCUUACGUGCUUCACACGAGCUACUGCACGUGAAGAGAACGGCCAGCCACUGUCACAUUUGCAACAAUAAAAUUCAUUACAAAUAACCACAGAAGGUGCAACAACAAUAAACCAAAAAUGCUAAAUUCGGAAGAUAAAAAUACACCCCCAAAAAAAUUAACUUCAUGG
Molecule: long non-coding RNA, 929 nt
Filed under: Drosophila guanche
Lineage: Eukaryota; Metazoa; Arthropoda; Insecta; Diptera; Drosophilidae
Source: RNAcentral